Molecule: ribosomal RNA, 981 nt
Filed under: human gut metagenome
Description: bacterial LSU rRNA
Rfam family: Bacterial large subunit ribosomal RNA
Source: RNAcentral
CCUAAGGUAGCGAAAUUCCUUGUCGGGUAAGUUCCGACCUGCACGAAUGGCGUAAUGAUGGCCAGGCUGUCUCCACCCGAGACUCAGUGAAAUUGAACUCGCUGUGAAGAUGCAGUGUACCCGCGGCAAGACGGAAAGACCCCGUGAACCUUUACUAUAGCUUGACACUGAACAUUGAGCCUUGAUGUGUAGGAUAGGUGGGAGGCUUUGAAGCGUGGACGCCAGUCUGCGUGGAGCCAACCUUGAAAUACCACCCUUUAAUGUUUGAUGUUCUAACGUAGGCCCCUGACCGGGGUUGCGGACAGUGUCUGGUGGGUAGUUUGACUGGGGCGGUCUCCUCCCAAAGAGUAACGGAGGAGCACGAAGGUUAGCUAAUCCUGGUCGGACAUCAGGAGGUUAGUGCAAUGGCAUAAGCUAGCUUGACUGCGAGCGUGACGGCGCGAGCAGGUGCGAAAGCAGGUCAUAGUGAUCCGGUGGUUCUGAAUGGAAGGGCCAUCGCUCAACGGAUAAAAGGUACUCCGGGGAUAACAGGCUGAUACCGCCCAAGAGUUCAUAUCGACGGCGGUGUUUGGCACCUCGAUGUCGGCUCAUCACAUCCUGGGGCUGAAGUAGGUCCCAAGGGUAUGGCUGUUCGCCAUUUAAAGUGGUACGCGAGCUGGGUUUAGAACGUCGUGAGACAGUUCGGUCCCUAUCUGCCGUGGGCGCUGGAGAAUUGAGGGGGGCUGCUCCUAGUACGAGAGGACCGGAGUGGACGCAUCACUGGUGUUCGGGUUGUCAUGCCAAUGGCACUGCCCGGUAGCUAAAUGCGGAAGAGAUAAGUGCUGAAAGCAUCUAAGCACGAAACUUGCCCCGAGAUGAGUUCUCCCUGAGACUUUAAGUCUCCUGAAGGAACGUUGAAGACGACGACGUUGAUAGGCCGGGUGUGUAAGCGCAGCGAUGCGUUGAGCUAACCGGUACUAAUGAACCGUGAGGCUUAACCUU